CAGCAGCCACGGUAAUACGUAGGUGGUAAGCGUUGUCCGGAAUUAUUGGGCGUAAAGCGCGCGCAGGUGGUUUAAUAAGUCUGAUGUGAAAGCCCACGGCUCAACCGUGGAGGGUCAUUGGAAACUGUUAAACUUGAGUGCAGGAGAGAAAAGUGGAAUUCCUAGUGUAGCGGUGAAAUGCGUAGAGAUUAGGAGGAACACCAGUGGCGAAGGCGGCUUUUUGGCCUGUAACUGACACUGAGGCGCGAAAGCGUGGGGAGCAAACAGGAUUAGAUACCCGAGUAGUCCCUGUCUCUUAUAC
This 301-nucleotide ribosomal RNA is filed under the name uncultured bacterium. Its description in RNAcentral is "partial 16S ribosomal RNA". It matches the Rfam family "Bacterial small subunit ribosomal RNA", at positions 509 to 807 of the family's 1533-position model. The record is from RNAcentral.